UUCUCCUUUUCCUCUCCUCCCAUCUUUCUCUCCAUCUUUAGUCCAUAGAGUGGGCUAUAGAUGAGUUAAGGUUCCAUGACAAGCAACCUGAGAAUACUGUCAACCUGCACCGUCAACCUGAGGACAGUCGCCCAGCUUCUGUGUGACUCUUGAAGGCUGCUCCUACCCUGAGACGGCUCAAGGAGUGUGGCCUUUAAUACACCAGUGAUCUGGAGAACAAAGAAAUUUCUGUGAGCCUGCUCUGGUGAGAGGAAUCUGGGGCAGCUUCAAAAUUUGUGAGAAAGUAUCAUGCAUGUUUUUCUCCUAAAUCUGGGACCUAACAUUGAUUUGUGUGCUUGUAUGUCAAAGACAAGUGCUGAGUCGCUGUGACAGGAGGCUGGAAAGAGAUGUCAAGCCAGAGGUCUCUGUUCAGGCAGUACUGAGUACUCCCUGACUGCUCCAUGUGAGAGAUUCCCCAGGCUGAGUGUAACCAGGGUAACCCACAUGGGCAUCCUGAAAGCAGCAACACCAAGGUGACAGAACACAAAUGGGCCAGGAGUUAAAAAUGCAGCUUGAGUUUGAGAUUUAAACUUUAAAAAUGGAGCAACUCUCUCUAAAGCAAAACAGAAGCUUGCAGUCUCAUUUCAUUACCCGCCGGGGCCUUUGAGCCGUGAACUUUCCCCCACUUCAGAAACUUCUCUGGAAAAUUCAUUUCAUGCUUCUCUACUCCAGUAAAACCCUUGACCGAGCUGUUACAAAACAGGAGACUUGGCAGAGGGAAUGUGAGAAAUCACUUGAUAUGGUGGAGCCAGUUGGCACCCGUGAGAGCCAUGUGCCUCUGACCUUUGGUUCACCUGUAAUCUUGGACCAUGACCUUCUCCCAGCAGAGGGAAC
Molecule: long non-coding RNA, 873 nt
Organism: Chinchilla lanigera (long-tailed chinchilla)
Lineage: Eukaryota; Metazoa; Chordata; Mammalia; Rodentia; Chinchillidae
Exons: 5
Source: RefSeq, a predicted model, not a curated record